AUUGAACGCUGGCGGUAGGCUUAACACAUGCAAGUCGAGCGGUAGCAGGCCUUCGGGUGCUGACGAGCGGCGGACGGGUGAGUAACGCGUAGAAAACUGCCCAAUAGUGGGGGAUAGCCCAGAGAAAUUUGGAAUAAUACCGCAUACGCUCUACGGAGGAAAGCGGGCUUCGGCUCGCGCUAUUGGAUGUGUCUGCGUGAGAUUAGCUAGUUGGUGAGGUAAUGGCUCACCAAGGCGACGAUCUCUAGCUGGUCUGAGAGGAUGAUCAGCCACACUGGGACUGAGACACGGCCCAGACUCCUACGGGAGGCAGCAGUGGGGAAUAUUGCACAAUGGGGGAAACCCUGAUGCAGCCAUACCGCGUGUGUGAAGAAGGCCUUCGGGUUGUAAAGCACUUUCAGUGGGGAGGAAAAGUUAAUGGUU
Molecule: ribosomal RNA, 423 nt
Filed under: uncultured bacterium
Lineage: Bacteria
Description: bacterial SSU rRNA
Rfam family: Bacterial small subunit ribosomal RNA
Source: RNAcentral